ACGGCUUAAAACGAGUUCGACUAAAUAAUAGAGGUUCGACAAACACAAACGCCGGCAUUGUGGAGGUCUACUACCAAGGGAUAUGGAGAACAGCUUGUGCAGCUCCAUACUGGAACUCCAACGCCGCUACGGUCGUAUGUCGUCAACUUGGAUUCACUGCUUCUGCCGACGUUGCGAACCCAGGGGAUUACUACAGCGAAAGCGUCAAUCAGCCAACCCACACGCUAUUGGAUGAUGGCCUGUAUUGUAGUGGUACCGAACAGUUCAUUGCAGAUUGCAUGGAAGAGAGGCCGGAUAUUGGAGAAAGGUGCCCCAACGGAGAGGAAUUCGCAGCUGCUAACUGCGCAGAAAACAAGAGGGCAGAAGGCUAUGAAGAUCUCAAACUUCGGGCUGCCCAACUUCUUCUUAACCUUUUCCAUGAGACUAAGAAGUAGUUUCCUUCACCUUCUGAUCAGAUGGCGACAUAAAUGUGUUGGAGGAUAGAUCCAGUCUCAAUUCAUAUUUUAAAUCCUAUAGAUGGAUCGAUCGAAAAUGAUUUUAAAAUUUACAAAUUUUUAGAUUCAGCAAUUUGGCUUUUAUUCUAUUUUUUUAAUGGUUGGUCCCCUUGAAUUGCUUUUCAUUCUAUGUAUUAAAGAGAAGAUUAUGUUGUUUGUAGAGGCCUAAUAAGUGAUUGUUUUUGCAUCUAAUACUCUCAUUAUUAGUAUAGGCAUUACAUUCGUUUUGAAUGUUUGCAAGAAAAAAAUAGUAGUAAAUUUCAUUUAUAUCGGAAUAUUAGUUUUACUAUUCAUGAUUGUUUUGAUAUAUAUAUUUACAUGAAAUAUGUCGGGCUAUCGUGGAAAAAUAUGAUGACCACUCGGAAAAAGAGCAUAUGUCUAAGUAUGUAAUUAUGUCGUGGAAUAAAAUCGCUGAAAAAUUGCAUAAUAUAUAAAUUUUGCAGCAAUUCGUAUGUUAGUAAUACAGUUAACCAUCUUGUUGAUGAAGGGUGAAAUAUAUUACGGCUAUCCUACACGUGCUGCCGCACUAGGCAAACCUACAUAUCUUAUUAGGUCUGAUAUAUGCAGCAACUGUUGGCAAGCGAUUUCGUAUGCAUAUCCCUUUGCUUGUGCUUAAACUCAUUUAAUUUGCUAGCGGUUUGAACAAUAGCAACGUCACUCUGCAGCGCGCUGGAGCGAACACGACUCAUAGAACUAUACUGGAAUGCAAAAGGGUGGCGGUGCAAAAUGUCGUGUCUCUCAUGUAACAUAUUUUCCUCAUAAGCGGUGUUAAACUAUUCCUUUGAAUUGUGUGUUAUUAAUGACUGUAUAUAGUUGACAUUCGGUUUGCACAAGCAAUGAAGAAAUCAUGUACAUGUAGGCUACUGUACAACUUUGGAUUCUCUUUCAGAUGCAUAAACCUGAUUAUAUGACGCGAACGUCCUGGGCCCCGUUGCAGAAAGAGUUGCAAUCAAUCGCAACUCUAAAAAUCAUGCGUAACUUGAUUUUUAAGCAAUCAACAACGCGCAUUUGGGACUGGUGAUUGAUUUUUUUUUACUAGCUUUUAAACGCAACUCUUUCUUCAACAGGCCCCUGAUCAGGUAAACGCUCAAGCUUCUCUGACGGAGCUUGGAAAUACCAAAGCAAAUACUUAAACGCACAAGCAGAGUGUUUGCUUUAUAGCUUAAUCGUCCAGCAAAUUCUAACAGGCAGUUAGCAAUUGCUUUAGCUUACCAGCAAAAGCAUUUUGCAUGCUCAUUUUUAUGCAUAAGGAAUCUAGCGAAAGCCAAGCAAAUGCCUAACAAAAAGCAAUUGCUACUCACUUUUCAUGCAUCCGUCCCAUUUUCUUUCCGCAAUCACUACGAAGACGCUUUCUAUACAACGUACUACAUGCAACAAGUCAAAUCACAAAGACAGCUGAAAAGGAUUUUGUAGAAAAAAAAAUAAAAGUGGUGGACCGAGACAGUAGAUCGUCCGAAAAUCAGCGACCUGAUUCCAGGACUACACCGUUGGUUUGAUUCACCGAUUUUA
RNAcentral lists this unclassified non-coding RNA (2003 nucleotides) under Lytechinus variegatus (green sea urchin). Its description in RNAcentral is "neurotrypsin-like, transcript variant X1". Lineage: Eukaryota; Metazoa; Echinodermata; Echinoidea; Temnopleuroida; Toxopneustidae. The record is from RNAcentral.